GGCUACUGACUUGUCUACACUCAAAACUCAAGAACUGUUCCUCCCAGAGUAUGAAGUCACUCAUCUCUACUGACCUGCUUCCCUCCAGGAGUAGACAUGUUAGAAGCCCUCCCACAGGCCGUUUGCCUAAGGAAACUACUGUUCUUUGGAGGCAUUGACUAUCCAGAUGACAGUGUCCCCACUGUAUGUCCCACAAAUGUGCUGGCAACCAGUGCUUGAUGCCACAGGAGUCGCAAAGCAGCACAACCCAAGGACGUGCUUCCCAAAGCUGCAGUCAUCACAAAAGCCAGGACAGAGCUCCAGAAGGUGCUGCACAAGAACACAAGGUCAAGGCUGGCCAGUUCCCACACGUCUGCCAUCACAGCUACUCUGCAGCUGAGACUGCGGGAUCUAAUCUCACUGUACAGCUCUGGCUUCCUGACUGGACUGGAAUUCUCCAUGUAGCCUAGGCUAGCCUUCACCUCACAGAAAUCUGCAAGCCUGCCAGGAUGCAGUGCAUGCCAUCACUCCUGACAAAAUAUUUUUAAAAAGAGAUUGGUGAAUGAAUGUACAUUUAUGUAUAAAUAUUAUCUAUAUUGAAUACCUUUUUUGUGUGUCUCUUGAACUAAACUAAACUUAACCUGCAAAAGUCUUGUCCUAGCUGGUUUUGACAAGACUACUUCUUAUAAUUGUUGGUGUCUUUGCUGGAGCUCCCUGUUCAGUUGGUUCAAGGGCGGGUUUAGUGCCCCAUCUUAAACACUAGGUCUGCAGUUUCUACAGUAACUGUGGAGCUGCACGCACUCACUGAGCUCCGGAAGUGUGCGGGAUGUGACCAGUGGGAUGCAGGAGCUAAACUUUUAAUCUUGUUAAGUUUUAAUUUAUUUAAAUUUAAAUUUUAUUCAGUCCAUAAUUGCGCUUGUAAUAAUUUGUAUAUGUGAAUCUCCUCUUCAGCCAUAGGUAUUGUGAAACCUUAAAUGUAAUUCAACUCUACAUGAUGGUUUGCUAUGUCGGCUGAGAUUAUUAUAAGCAUAAAACUACCAAAUCCGGAACACCUGUACAAACAUAAAAAAAGCUCAAUUUGUAUACAGAUUAUUUAUUGAAAUGUUGACAUUUUAAAUAUACUUAGUAUACAAGGCAUAUUAAAAUUAAUUUUACUUCUCUA
Rattus rattus (black rat) is the source of this 1141-nucleotide long non-coding RNA. RefSeq lists it as uncharacterized. The record is from RefSeq and is a predicted model, not a curated record. Lineage: Eukaryota; Metazoa; Chordata; Mammalia; Rodentia; Muridae. The transcript has 4 exons.